GCAGGCUAGGCGGGGGCUAGGGGUCCCCAUCCCGCAAGAUCCCCUUAGCGGGCCGAAGGCAUAGGGUGUCAGCAAGGCCCUCCUGGAGUCUAGAGGAUAUGGAUGAGGAAGGCCUCUCUCAAUAAGCCUGCCUGCUGAACCGGGUCAGGCGUUAUGAGCAGCCCUAAGGCAGGUAGGCUUGUUUGAGGGAGACCCCCUUCCGACAGAGUCCUCUAGACCACCAGGGGUAACCUUGCUGGCUACCUAUGCUGCCUGC
This 256-nucleotide signal recognition particle RNA is filed under the name Microcaldota archaeon. RNAcentral describes it as "signal recognition particle sRNA large type". It matches the Rfam family "Bacterial large signal recognition particle RNA". From Rfam's summary of the family: The signal recognition particle (SRP) is a universally conserved ribonucleoprotein involved in the co-translational targeting of proteins to membranes. Archaeal SRP consists of a 7S RNA and homologues of the eukaryotic SRP19 and SRP54 proteins. The record is from RNAcentral. Lineage: Archaea; Nanobdellati; Microcaldota.